UAAAAACUAACAGGAACUCACAUGCUCACUAAAGCUGGGGACCCGAGGCUGGGUUUCUCUGCAUAGUCUUGGCUGUCCUGGAACUCACUCUGUGGACCAGGAUGACCUCAAACUCACAAAGACCCACCUACUAUUGCUAGGAUUAAAGAUGAGGAAACCAAGACUCAGCAAAAUCCAAUAACUUCCCCGAGCUUUCACAAUGAGAAGGCAACAGAAGCAGGAUUGGAACCAAAUUGGAUUUCCAAACUCAAAUGACUGAUGAAUGAGCUCCCAUAGUAUUGCAUAUCACCCUAAUGCCUCAAAAGAGGAGAUCAAAGUGUUCUUAAUCAGGGUGGAAAUCCACAGUCUAUAAUUGUCGAGUUGUCAGAUCAUCCGUCUUUUUUUUUCAUACAUUGAUGACGAUAAUUUCAGAUUUGUUAAAUAACAUGCUACAGUCCCAAUGCUUCAUGCCUUUCUUAGAACAUGGGAUAGGAUGUGCUCUGUAUACAAGUUAGUUGGCUCCUUGCCCUUCCUCCUCCUCUCUAUCAGGUUCAUUACUUGGACUUACAAGAGGGCAAGUAAUGGCAUAGGAGAAGUUAGCCUCAAAUGCUUGUUGUUUCUAGAAGGUAUACAGCAUGUAAUGGCAUAGGAGAAUUUAGCCUCAAAUACUUGUUGUUUCCAGAAAGUAUCUGGCUAAUUUAUUUCAAAAGGCUUUUGCUCCUAUGAAGUUUAAUCGAGUUGGUGCGUAUUAAAGGACUCGCUUAAUCUUCAUCUGAAUGUGAGCAGUAAAUAUGUUUUGGAGAUUAUACUCAUUUCCCAGUGACUCUAAGUACUUUCCUAUUCUAAAGCUGAUUCUUAUCCUUCAGAGCAAAAGGGUUUCAAUUCUAUGGAGUCACCAAAAUAAAAUACAGAGUCACAAGCAAAGUGGUUGUUUACCCUUUGGUACAGGAACACACCCAGCAAGAGCCACGCUGUGAAGGCUGACUCCUUAAUGAACCAUCCUUUGUGCUACUUGCCUUCUGAAUAUGUACAAGACUAUGGGUGUCUGCAAAAAGCCUUCAAAAUCACCGGGCUGGGAUAGGGAGCUACCACCUGUGAGCUGCUGGUAUUCCACUUUGUUGCUUCUAAUGGAAGGCCAGCUUAUCCACUAUGGGUGGAAUUGCUAAGCCCUGUCAGGGGAGAGAUUUUGCCAAAUAAAUUUUAAUGGCUUGGAAUCAAGUUCAAUUCAUGAAAAAAACGAAAGACAGGAAAGCUUGCUUGGUAUCAUAUGAGCAAUACUAAACUUUUACAUCCUGUAAGCACAUGGGAUGUACAAGUUGCUGGGAGAGUAUGAAGAAUUUCUGUUCCUCUGCCAGAAGAAAUUCAUCCUAGCAUUAUCUGAGGAAGGUCUUUGAUGUCUUCUCUGUGUUAGUGAAAUAGUCUUGAAUCAGAUAGGAACACAGACAGUCUAGUUACACAAGAACUAGACAGUAAGUUCAAUGGUGUGGGGUGAAAGAUAACUGAUUGAUCAAGAAAGAUGGCAGCCAAGGAUGUGUAGUUGCUAUCUCACAUUGGGUCACAUCCUAACAAUUCCCUUCUGAAUUAUGCUUCUAGACACCCCCAGGCUU
Meriones unguiculatus (Mongolian gerbil) is the source of this 1586-nucleotide long non-coding RNA. RefSeq lists it as uncharacterized. The record is from RefSeq and is a predicted model, not a curated record. Lineage: Eukaryota; Metazoa; Chordata; Mammalia; Rodentia; Muridae. The transcript has 3 exons.